UGCCUAACACAUGCAAGUCGAACGAAGCUUUCGGGCUUAGUGGCGGACGGGUGAGUAACACGUGAGAACCUGCCUUCAGGAUGGGGACAACAGUUGGAAACGACUGCUAAUACCCGAUGUGCCGAGAGGUGAAAGAUUUAUCGCCUGAAGAUGGGCUCGCGUCUGAUUAGCUAGUUGGUAGUGUAAGGGACUACCAAGGCGACGAUCAGUAGCUGGUCUGAGAGGAUGAGCAGCCACACUGGGACUGAGACACGGCCCAGACUCCUACGGGAGGCAGCAGUGGGGAAUUUUCCGCAAUGGGCGAAAGCCUGACGGAGCAAUACCGCGUGAGUGAGGAAGGUCUUUGGAUUGUAAACCUC
RNAcentral lists this ribosomal RNA (359 nucleotides) under uncultured organism. RNAcentral's name for it is "bacterial SSU rRNA". It matches the Rfam family "Bacterial small subunit ribosomal RNA", at positions 45 to 433 of the family's 1533-position model. The record is from RNAcentral.